RNAcentral lists this ribosomal RNA (524 nucleotides) under uncultured bacterium. RNAcentral's name for it is "partial 16S ribosomal RNA". It matches the Rfam family "Bacterial small subunit ribosomal RNA", at positions 28 to 523 of the family's 1533-position model. The record is from RNAcentral.
GACGAACGCUGGCGGCGUGCCUAAUACAUGCAAGUCGAGCGCAGGAAGCUGACGGAACUCUUCGGAGGGAAGGCAGUGGAAUGAGCGGCGGACGGGUGAGUAACACGUAAGGAACCUGCCUCAAGGAUUGGGAUAACUCCGAGAAAUCGGAGCUAAUACCGGAUAGUUCAACGGACCGCAUGGUCCGCUGAUGAAAGGCGCUUCGGCGUCACCUUGAGAUGGCCUUGCGGUGCAUUAGCUAGUUGGUGGGGUAACGGCCCACCAAGGCGACGAUGCAUAGCCGACCUGAGAGGGUGAUCGGCCACACUGGGACUGAGACACGGCCCAGACUCCUACGGGAGGCAGCAGUAGGGAAUCUUCCACAAUGGACGAAAGUCUGAUGGAGCAACGCCGCGUGAGUGAUGAAGGUUUUCGGAUCGUAAAACUCUGUUGUAAGGGAAGAACACGUACGAGAGGAAAUGCUCGUACCUUGACGGUACCUUACGAGAAAGCCACGGCUAACUACGUGCCAGCAGCCGCCGCCG